UCCCUCAUAGCUCAGUUGGUAAAGAAUUUGCUUGCAAUGCAGGACACCUAGGUUUGAUUCCUGGGUAGGGAA
Molecule: transfer RNA, 72 nt
Organism: Ovis aries (sheep)
Lineage: Eukaryota; Metazoa; Chordata; Mammalia; Artiodactyla; Bovidae
Rfam family: tRNA
About the family: Transfer RNA (tRNA) molecules are approximately 80 nucleotides in length. Their secondary structure includes four short double-helical elements and three loops (D, anti-codon, and T loops). Further hydrogen bonds mediate the characteristic L-shaped molecular structure. tRNAs have two regions of fundamental functional importance: the anti-codon, which is responsible for specific mRNA codon recognition, and the 3' end, to which the tRNAs corresponding amino acid is attached (by aminoacyl-tRNA synthetases). tRNAs cope with the degeneracy of the genetic code in two manners: having more than one tRNA (with a specific anti-codon) for a particular amino acid; and 'wobble' base-pairing, i.e. permitting non-standard base-pairing at the 3rd anti-codon position.
Source: Rfam